UGCAACGCGAAGAACCUUACCUGGUCUUGACAUCCACAGAAGAUUGCAGAGAUGGAUUGGUGCCUUCGGGAACUGUGAGACAGGUGCUGCAUGGCCGUCGUCAGCUCGUGUUGUGAGAUGUUGGGUUAAGUCCCGCAACGAGCGCAACCCCUAUCCUUGGUUGCUAGCAGGUAAUGGUGGGAACUCCAGGGAGACUGCCGGUGACAAACCGGAGGAAGGUGGGGAUGACGUCAGGUCAUCAUGGCCCUUACGACCAGGGCUACACACGUGCUACAAUGGCGCGUACAGAGGGCUGCAAACUCGCGAGAGUGAGCCAAUCCCUUAAAACUCGUCGUAGUCCGGAUCGGAGUCUGCAACUCGACUCCGUGAAGUCGGAAUCGCUAGUAAUCGUGAAUCAGAAUGUCGCGGUGAAUACGUUCCCGGGCCUUGUACACACCGCCCGUCACACCAUGGGAGUGGAUUGCACCAGAAGUAGUU
RNAcentral lists this ribosomal RNA (477 nucleotides) under Marinobacter sp. RNAcentral describes it as "bacterial SSU rRNA". It matches the Rfam family "Bacterial small subunit ribosomal RNA", at positions 955 to 1431 of the family's 1533-position model. The record is from RNAcentral. Lineage: Bacteria; Pseudomonadati; Pseudomonadota; Gammaproteobacteria; Pseudomonadales; Marinobacteraceae.